CGCUGGCGGCGUGCCUAACACAUGCAAGUCGAACGCGGUUACUUCUGCUUCGCAAGAAGUAGUUGUAACUGAGUGGCGAACGGGUGAGUAACACGUGGGUGACCUGCCUUCGAGUGGGGGAUAACAUCCCGAAAGGGGUGCUAAUACCGCAUGAGAUCCUGCCUUUGAAGAGGUGGAGAUUAAAGCUGGGGAUCGUAAGACCUGGCGCUUGAAGAGGGGCCCGCGUCCGAUUAGCUAGUUGGUGGGGUAACGGCCUACCAAGGCGACGAUCGGUAGCCGGCCUGAGAGGGCGGACGGCCACACUGGGACUGAGACACGGCCCAGACUCCUACGGGAGGCAGCAGUGGGGAAUUGUUCGCAAUGGGCGAAAGCCUGACGACGCAACGCCGCGUGGAGGACGAAGAUUUUCGGAUCGUAAACUCCUUUCGAUCGAGACGAAUGACUGGUGACCCAAUACGUCAUCAGAGUGACGGUACCGAGAGAAGAAGCCCCGGCUAACUCCGUGCCAGCAGCCGCGGUAAUACGGGGGGGGCAAGCGUUGUUCGGAAUUACUGGGCGUAAAGGGCGCGUAGGCGGCCUGCUAAGUCACACGUGAAAUCCCUCGGCUCAACCGGGGAACUGCGUGUGAUACUGGCGGGC
This 639-nucleotide ribosomal RNA is filed under the name uncultured Acidobacteriota bacterium. RNAcentral's name for it is "bacterial SSU rRNA". It matches the Rfam family "Bacterial small subunit ribosomal RNA", at positions 34 to 641 of the family's 1533-position model. Lineage: Bacteria; Pseudomonadati; Acidobacteriota. The record is from RNAcentral.